Vulpes vulpes (red fox) is the source of this 103-nucleotide small nuclear RNA. The record is from Ensembl. Lineage: Eukaryota; Metazoa; Chordata; Mammalia; Carnivora; Canidae.
GUGUUCCUUUCCACAGCACUUACCCUAACAUCGAACAGAGACAAAACUAGCGUGGCCCCUGCACAAGGAUGACACGCAAAUUCGUGAAGCAGCAGUAACUAUA